UGGGGAAUAUUGCACAAUGGGGGAAACCCUGAUGCAGCGACGCCGCGUGAGUGAAGAAGGUCUUCGGAUCGUAAAACUCUGUCCUUGGUGACGAAAGAAAUGACGGUAACCAAGGAGGAAGCCCCGGCUAACUACGUGCCAGCAGCCGCGGUAAUACGUAGGGGGCGAGCGUUAUCCGGAUUCAUUGGGCGUAAAGCGUGUGUAGGCGGUUUAUUAAGUCUGUGGUCAAAUGCUAAAGCUUAACUUUAGUACGCCGUGGAAACUGGUAAACUUGAGUAGAGUAGAGGCAAGUGGAAUUCCUAGUGUAGCGGUGGAAUGCGUAGAUAUUAGGAGGAACACCAGUGGCGAAGGCGGCUUGCUGGGCUCUCACUGACGCUGAGACACGAAAGCGUGGGUAGCAAAUAGG
RNAcentral lists this ribosomal RNA (406 nucleotides) under uncultured prokaryote. Its description in RNAcentral is "bacterial SSU rRNA". It matches the Rfam family "Bacterial small subunit ribosomal RNA", at positions 355 to 776 of the family's 1533-position model. The record is from RNAcentral. RNAcentral also lists the same sequence under 1 other name.